RNAcentral lists this ribosomal RNA (1944 nucleotides) under Corynebacterium striatum. RNAcentral's name for it is "partial 23S ribosomal RNA". It matches the Rfam family "Bacterial large subunit ribosomal RNA", at positions 204 to 1991 of the family's 2925-position model. The record is from RNAcentral. Lineage: Bacteria; Bacillati; Actinomycetota; Actinomycetes; Mycobacteriales; Corynebacteriaceae.
CAGUACCCGUAGGAGAAGAAAAUAAUAAUGAUUCUGCUAGUAGUGGCGAACGAACGUGGAUGAGGCUAAACCGUGUGCAUGUGAUACCUGGUAGGGGUUGUGUGUGCGGUGUUGUGGGCCCUGAUGAGGAUGGCUACUGACGUCCUGCCCGCGCAUUGUUGUUAGGUGAAGUGGUGUGGAAACGCCUGCCGUAGAAGGUGAUAGUCCUGUAGCUGAAGAUGAUGGUGUGUGGGUUGUUGGGUUGCCCGAGUAGCAGCGGGCUCGUGGAAUCUGCUGUGAAUCUGCCGGGACCACCCGGUAAGCCUAAAUACUCAGUGUGACCGAUAGUGGAUAGUACCGUGAGGGAAUGGUGAAAAGUACCCCGGGAGGGGAGUGAAAUAGUUCCUGAAACCAUGUGCUUACAAUCCGUCAGAGCACCAUAUGUUGUGUGAUGGCGUGCCUUUUGAAGAAUGAGCCUGCGAGUCAGCGGCAUGUCGCGAGGUUAACCCGUGUGGGGUAGCCGUAGGGAAACCGAAUCCUAAUGGGGUGUUUAGUGGCAUGUCCUGGACCCGAAGCGGGGUGAUCUACCCAUGGCCAGUGUGAAGCAGCAGUAAGGUGCUGUGGAGGCGCGAACCCACGUAGGUUGAAAACUGCGGGGAUGAGCUGUGGGUAGGGGUGAAAGGCCAAUCAAACUCCGUGAUAGCUGGUUCUCCCCGAAAUGCAUUUAGGUGCAGCGUCGCAUUAGCUUGGUGGAGGUAGAGCUACUGGUUGGUUGAGCGGGACUACAAUCUUAGCAAUGUCAGCCAAACUCCGAAUGCCAUUAAUGUGUUGUGCGGCAGUGAGACUGUGGGGGAUAAGCUUCAUAGUCGAGAGGGAAACAGCCCAGAUCGCCGGUUAAGGCCCCUAAGGGUGUGCUAAGUGGAAAAGGAUGUGGGAUCGCGAAGACAGCCAGGAGGUUGGCUUAGAAGCAGCCAUCCUUGAAAGAGUGCGUAAUAGCUCACUGGUCGAGUGGUUCUGCGCCGACAAUGUAGUGGGGCUCAAGCACACCGCCGAAGCCGCGGCAAUAAUAUUUUGUUAUUGGGUAGGGGAGCGUCGUGCACGUGUUGAAGCGUUACCGUGAGGAGGCGUGGAGUGUGUGCGAGUGAGAAUGCAGGCAUGAGUAACGAAUUGGAAGGUGAGAAUCCUUCCCGCCGGAUGACUAAGGGUUCCUGGGUCAAGUUCGUCUUCCCAGGGUGAGUCGGGACCUAAGGCGAGGCCGACAGGCGUAGUCGAUGGAUAACCAGUUGAUAUUCUGGUACCCGAGUAUAUGCGCCCCUGAUAAAGCACUGAUACUAACCACCGUAAGCUGUUGUGAUUGACCCUUUGGGGUUAACAUGGUGGCAAGCCGUGGGGCCUGAUGUGUGGUUCAAGCGAUGGGGUGACACAGUGGGGUAGCCAUGCCGCUUAGUGGAUUGUUGGUGUAAGCGUGUAGGUGAUGGUGUAGGUAAAUCCGCACUUGUUAUGCUGAGACGUGAUGCGUAGCCUUAAUUGGUGAAGUUGGUGAUCCCGUGCUGUCGAGAAAAGCCUCUAGCGAUGUAUAUACUCGGCCCGUACCCCAAACCGACACAGGUAGUCAGGUUGAAAAUACUAAGGCGUUCGGGUGAACUGUGGUUAAGGAACUCGGCAAAAUGCCCCCGUAACUUCGGGAGAAGGGGGACCCUAUGGCGUGAACACCCAUUUGCGGUGGGAAGCGUUGUGGGGUCGCAGAGAAUAGAGGGAAGCGACUGUUUAUCAAAAACACAGGUCCAUGCGAAGACGUUAAGUUGAUGUAUAUGGACUGACGCCUGCCCGGUGCUGGAAGGUUAAGAGGACCGGUUAAUCAAGCUUUGCUUGGUGAAGCUGAGAAUUUAAGCCCCAGUAAACGGCGGUGGUAACUAUAACCAUCCUAAGGUAGCGAAAUUCCUUGUCGGGUAAGUUCCGACCUGC